UACGUAGGGUGCGAGCGUUGUCCGGAAUUACUGGGCGUAAAGAGCUCGUAGGUGGUUCGUCGCGUUGUUCGUGAAAACUCACAACUCAAUUGUGGGCGUGCGGGCGAUACGGGCAGACUGGAGUACUGCAGGGGAGACUGGAAUUCCUGGUGUAGCGGUGGAAUGCGCAGAUAUCAGGAGGAACACCGGUGGCGAAGGCGGGUCUCUGGGCAGUAACUGACGCUGAGGAGCGAAAUCGUGGGGAGCGAACAGG
RNAcentral lists this ribosomal RNA (253 nucleotides) under uncultured bacterium. RNAcentral describes it as "partial 16S ribosomal RNA". It matches the Rfam family "Bacterial small subunit ribosomal RNA", at positions 524 to 776 of the family's 1533-position model. The record is from RNAcentral.